This is a long non-coding RNA of Rhododendron vialii, 476 nucleotides long. RefSeq lists it as uncharacterized. The transcript has 4 exons. NCBI's taxonomy places the organism in Eukaryota, Viridiplantae, Streptophyta, Magnoliopsida, Ericales, Ericaceae. The record is from RefSeq and is a predicted model, not a curated record.
CGGUAGCCAGCCUCCAAACCCUAGCCGUUUACUGCCCCUGAUCGUCGCCGAUAGAUGCUCCUUUUCAUCGCCGUUUGGCUGCUCCCUUCAUUCUCUAUUUGAGGUUCUGAUGGAGGGUGAGACUCAAGAUGUUGGUGGCUUCGAACCGGACUUUACAAAUGAAGAUUUUGCAAAGAUAAAUGCCAUAAUAAAUCUUGCAGCCACAAGUAACUUUGAAGAAAUAUCAAAGUUCUACGAAUUAAGUGAGGGCGUGAAUUAUGGUGACAAUGCUAGAGAUUCUGUGAAAAGUUUGGUUGAUCGAGGUGUUCUUACUUGAUGUACGUAGUUACUGGAAAGAGAUUUGCAGCCGUUAUGAAAAUUUUGAGGAAAAAUGCUAGAUGAUGAGUACGAAAGUAUGAAGAUCUUGUGUCGUUGCUGUUAUGAAGAUUUUGCAGCAUCAACAUUUUCAAUUGUGUGCUGUUUUUUGUUUUUGAAAG